Molecule: long non-coding RNA, 508 nt
Organism: Cyprinus carpio (common carp)
Lineage: Eukaryota; Metazoa; Chordata; Actinopteri; Cypriniformes; Cyprinidae
Source: Ensembl
AAGAAGGUCAGAGGGGGUCAUUUGGACAAAGCUUACUUUACCAGGAAAUGGACAUGGAUGGAUCUGUCUCUGUUAGUCGCAUCCUGCGAGGCCUCGACUGAGUGACUCAAACAUUACUUGAGAGCCUGUGGUGAAUGAACUGAACUGUAUGGAAGAUUCUUCCAAAAUAAUUUUCUGCUCCAUGGAAACAAAUAACAACAUUUAUUUUGAAUGGGUUUGGACCGACAUGAGGGAAAAUGGCUUGCAAGUGAGGAGUGACUACAGCUUGAUAAGUGGCAAACCAUUAUUUUCCAGGCCGCCUGAAACCCCUUUGAGGCAACGAUGCUUCAUCUUAUCAUGGGCCUGGUGCAGGGCUGCCGAAAUGUGACACGACGCUCAUUCUGAGGUCAGUGCUAAUGUUUUCUUCAUUGGAUGAUCAUCUGGUGUAUGAUGGUUAUGUAAUUAUGAGUGUUUAUGCAUUUAUUUGUUUAGGUUUUAAUGGAAUUUGACAUUUCACCUCAAAUUCCCC